RNAcentral lists this ribosomal RNA (440 nucleotides) under uncultured bacterium. RNAcentral describes it as "partial 16S ribosomal RNA". It matches the Rfam family "Bacterial small subunit ribosomal RNA", at positions 338 to 795 of the family's 1533-position model. The record is from RNAcentral.
CCUACGGGCGGCUGCAGUGGGGAAUCUUGCACAAUGGAGGAAACUCUGAUGCAGCGACGCCGCGUGAGCGAUGAAGCCCCUCGGGGUGUAAAGCUCUUUCGACGGGAACGAUAAUGACGGUACCCGGAGAAGAAGCUGCGGCUAACUACGUGCCAGCAGCCGCGGUAAUACGUAGGCAGCAAACGUUGUUCGGAAUUACUGGGCGUAAAGAGUGUGUAGGCGGUUCUGCAAGUUUGGUGUGAAAUCUCCCGGCGUAACUGGGAGGGUGCGCCGAAAACUGCAAGGCUAGAGUACUGGAGAGGAAAGCGGAAUUCCUGGUGUAGCGGUGAAAUGCGUAGAUAUCAGGAGGAACACCGGUGGUGUAGACGGCUUUCCGGACUAGUACUGACGCUGAGGCGCGAAAGCUAGGGGAGCGAACGGGAUUAGAUACCCUUGUAGUC